RNAcentral lists this ribosomal RNA (2571 nucleotides) under Escherichia coli KTE80. RNAcentral describes it as "bacterial LSU rRNA". It matches the Rfam family "Bacterial large subunit ribosomal RNA", at positions 372 to 2925 of the family's 2925-position model. Lineage: Bacteria; Pseudomonadati; Pseudomonadota; Gammaproteobacteria; Enterobacterales; Enterobacteriaceae. The record is from RNAcentral.
CCCGUACACAAAAAUGCACAUACUGUGAGCUCGAUGAGUAGGGCGGGACACGUGGUAUCCUGUCUGAAUAUGGGGGGACCAUCCUCCAAGGCUAAAUACUCCUGACUGACCGAUAGUGAACCAGUACCGUGAGGGAAAGGCGAAAAGAACCCCGGCGAGGGGAGUGAAAAAGAACCUGAAACCGUGUACGUACAAGCAGUGGGAGCCUCUUUAUGGGGUGACUGCGUACCUUUUGUAUAAUGGGUCAGCGACUUAUAUUCUGUAGCAAGGUUAACCGAAUAGGGGAGCCGAAGGGAAACCGAGUCUUAACUGGGCGUUAAGUUGCAGGGUAUAGACCCGAAACCCGGUGAUCUAGCCAUGGGCAGGUUGAAGGUUGGGUAACACUAACUGGAGGACCGAACCGACUAAUGUUGAAAAAUUAGCGGAUGACUUGUGGCUGGGGGUGAAAGGCCAAUCAAACCGGGAGAUAGCUGGUUCUCCCCGAAAGCUAUUUAGGUAGCGCCUCGUGAAUUCAUCUCCGGGGGUAGAGCACUGUUUCGGCAAGGGGGUCAUCCCGACUUACCAACCCGAUGCAAACUGCGAAUACCGGAGAAUGUUAUCACGGGAGACACACGGCGGGUGCUAACGUCCGUCGUGAAGAGGGAAACAACCCAGACCGCCAGCUAAGGUCCCAAAGUCAUGGUUAAGUGGGAAACGAUGUGGGAAGGCCCAGACAGCCAGGAUGUUGGCUUAGAAGCAGCCAUCAUUUAAAGAAAGCGUAAUAGCUCACUGGUCGAGUCGGCCUGCGCGGAAGAUGUAACGGGGCUAAACCAUGCACCGAAGCUGCGGCAGCGACGCUUAUGCGUUGUUGGGUAGGGGAGCGUUCUGUAAGCCUGCGAAGGUGUGCUGUGAGGCAUGCUGGAGGUAUCAGAAGUGCGAAUGCUGACAUAAGUAACGAUAAAGCGGGUGAAAAGCCCGCUCGCCGGAAGACCAAGGGUUCCUGUCCAACGUUAAUCGGGGCAGGGUGAGUCGACCCCUAAGGCGAGGCCGAAAGGCGUAGUCGAUGGGAAACAGGUUAAUAUUCCUGUACUUGGUGUUACUGCGAAGGGGGGACGGAGAAGGCUAUGUUGGCCGGGCGACGGUUGUCCCGGUUUAAGCGUGUAGGCUGGUUUUCCAGGCAAAUCCGGAAAAUCAAGGCUGAGGCGUGAUGACGAGGCACUACGGUGCUGAAGCAACAAAUGCCCUGCUUCCAGGAAAAGCCUCUAAGCAUCAGGUAACAUCAAAUCGUACCCCAAACCGACACAGGUGGUCAGGUAGAGAAUACCAAGGCGCUUGAGAGAACUCGGGUGAAGGAACUAGGCAAAAUGGUGCCGUAACUUCGGGAGAAGGCACGCUGAUAUGUAGGUGAAGUCCCUUGCGGAUGGAGCUGAAAUCAGUCGAAGAUACCAGCUGGCUGCAACUGUUUAUUAAAAACACAGCACUGUGCAAACACGAAAGUGGACGUAUACGGUGUGACGCCUGCCCGGUGCCGGAAGGUUAAUUGAUGGGGUUAGCGGUAACGCGAAGCUCUUGAUCGAAGCCCCGGUAAACGGCGGCCGUAACUAUAACGGUCCUAAGGUAGCGAAAUUCCUUGUCGGGUAAGUUCCGACCUGCACGAAUGGCGUAAUGAUGGCCAGGCUGUCUCCACCCGAGACUCAGUGAAAUUGAACUCGCUGUGAAGAUGCAGUGUACCCGCGGCAAGACGGAAAGACCCCGUGAACCUUUACUAUAGCUUGACACUGAACAUUGAGCCUUGAUGUGUAGGAUAGGUGGGAGGCUUUGAAGUGUGGACGCCAGUCUGCAUGGAGCCGACCUUGAAAUACCACCCUUUAAUGUUUGAUGUUCUAACGUUGGCCCCUAAUCGGGGUUGCGGACAGUGUCUGGUGGGUAGUUUGACUGGGGCGGUCUCCUCCUAAAGAGUAACGGAGGAGCACGAAGGUUGGCUAAUCCUGGUCGGACAUCAGGAGGUUAGUGCAAUGGCAUAAGCCAGCUUGACUGCGAGCGUGACGGCGCGAGCAGGUGCGAAAGCAGGUCAUAGUGAUCCGGUGGUUCUGAAUGGAAGGGCCAUCGCUCAACGGAUAAAAGGUACUCCGGGGAUAACAGGCUGAUACCGCCCAAGAGUUCAUAUCGACGGCGGUGUUUGGCACCUCGAUGUCGGCUCAUCACAUCCUGGGGCUGAAGUAGGUCCCAAGGGUAUGGCUGUUCGCCAUUUAAAGUGGUACGCGAGCUGGGUUUAGAACGUCGUGAGACAGUUCGGUCCCUAUCUGCCGUGGGCGCUGGAGAACUGAGGGGGGCUGCUCCUAGUACGAGAGGACCGGAGUGGACGCAUCACUGGUGUUCGGGUUGUCAUGCCAAUGGCACUGCCCGGUAGCUAAAUGCGGAAGAGAUAAGUGCUGAAAGCAUCUAAGCACGAAACUUGCCCCGAGAUGAGUUCUCCCUGACUCCCUGAGAGUCCUGAAGGAACGUUGAAGACGACGACGUUGAUAGGCCGGGUGUGUAAGCGCAGCGAUGCGUUGAGCUAACCGGUACUAAUGAACCGUGAGGCUUAACCUU